CAGCGUGCAGUGCCCUUCACAAGGAGGUGUCAUUCAUGUGGACAAAAACAUGAAUGCCGCCUUCUUGAGAUGAGUAAUGUACAGCAUG
Molecule: microRNA precursor, 88 nt
Filed under: Ateles geoffroyi (black-handed spider monkey)
Lineage: Eukaryota; Metazoa; Chordata; Mammalia; Primates; Atelidae
Source: RNAcentral